RNAcentral lists this ribosomal RNA (2900 nucleotides) under Klebsiella pneumoniae BIDMC 42a. RNAcentral's name for it is "bacterial LSU rRNA". It matches the Rfam family "Bacterial large subunit ribosomal RNA". RNAcentral also lists the same sequence under 1 other name. Lineage: Bacteria; Pseudomonadati; Pseudomonadota; Gammaproteobacteria; Enterobacterales; Enterobacteriaceae. The record is from RNAcentral.
UUAAGCGACUAAGCGUACACGGUGGAUGCCCUGGCAGUCAGAGGCGAUGAAGGACGUGCUAAUCUGCGAAAAGCGUCGGUAAGGUGAUAUGAACCGUUACAGCCGGCGAUGUCCGAAUGGGGAAACCCAGUGCAAUUCGUUGCACUAUCGUUAACUGAAUACAUAGGUUAACGAGGCGAACCGGGGGAACUGAAACAUCUAAGUACCCCGAGGAAAAGAAAUCAACCGAGAUUCCCCCAGUAGCGGCGAGCGAACGGGGAGCAGCCCAGAGUCUGAAUCAGCUUGUGUGUUAGUGGAACGGUCUGGAAAGUCCGACGGUACAGGGUGAUAGUCCCGUACACCAAAAUGCACAGGUUGUGAACUCGAAGAGUAGGGCGGGACACGUGGUAUCCUGUCUGAAUAUGGGGGGACCAUCCUCCAAGGCUAAAUACUCCUGACUGACCGAUAGUGAACCAGUACCGUGAGGGAAAGGCGAAAAGAACCCCGGCGAGGGGAGUGAAAAAGAACCUGAAACCGUGUACGUACAAGCAGUGGGAGCACCUUCGGGUGUGACUGCGUACCUUUUGUAUAAUGGGUCAGCGACUUAUAUUCUGUAGCAAGGUUAACCGUAUAGGGGAGCCGCAGGGAAACCGAGUCUUAACUGGGCGUUAAGUUGCAGGGUAUAGACCCGAAACCCGGUGAUCUAGCCAUGGGCAGGUUGAAGGUUGGGUAACACUAACUGGAGGACCGAACCGACUAAUGUUGAAAAAUUAGCGGAUGACUUGUGGCUGGGGGUGAAAGGCCAAUCAAACCGGGAGAUAGCUGGUUCUCCCCGAAAGCUAUUUAGGUAGCGCCUCGUGAACUCAUCUUCGGGGGUAGAGCACUGUUUCGGCUAGGGGGUCAUCCCGACUUACCAACCCGAUGCAAACUACGAAUACCGAAGAAUGUUAUCACGGGAGACACACGGCGGGUGCUAACGUCCGUCGUGAAGAGGGAAACAACCCAGACCGCCAGCUAAGGUCCCAAAGUCAUGGUUAAGUGGGAAACGAUGUGGGAAGGCACAGACAGCCAGGAUGUUGGCUUAGAAGCAGCCAUCAUUUAAAGAAAGCGUAAUAGCUCACUGGUCGAGUCGGCCUGCGCGGAAGAUGUAACGGGGCUAAACCAUGCACCGAAGCUGCGGCAGCGACACUAUGUGUUGUUGGGUAGGGGAGCGUUCUGUAAGCCUGCGAAGGUGUGCUGUGAGGCAUGCUGGAGGUAUCAGAAGUGCGAAUGCUGACAUAAGUAACGAUAAAGCGGGUGAAAAGCCCGCUCGCCGGAAGACCAAGGGUUCCUGUCCAACGUUAAUCGGGGCAGGGUGAGUCGACCCCUAAGGCGAGGCCGAAAGGCGUAGUCGAUGGGAAACAGGUUAAUAUUCCUGUACUUGGUGUUACUGCGAAGGGGGGACGGAGAAGGCUAUGUUAGCCGGGCGACGGUUGUCCCGGUUUAAGCAUGUAGGCUGGUUAUCCAGGCAAAUCCGGAUAAUCAAGGCUGAGGUGUGAUGACGAGGCACUACGGUGCUGAAGUAACAAAUGCCCUGCUUCCAGGAAAAGCCUCUAAGCAUCAGGUAACAUCAAAUCGUACCCCAAACCGACACAGGUGGUCAGGUAGAGAAUACCAAGGCGCUUGAGAGAACUCGGGUGAAGGAACUAGGCAAAAUGGUGCCGUAACUUCGGGAGAAGGCACGCUGGUGUGUAGGUGAAGUCCCUGCGGAUGGAGCUGAGACCAGUCGAAGAUACCAGCUGGCUGCAACUGUUUAUUAAAAACACAGCACUGUGCAAACACGAAAGUGGACGUAUACGGUGUGACGCCUGCCCGGUGCCGGAAGGUUAAUUGAUGGGGUUAUCCGUAAGGAGAAGCUCUUGAUCGAAGCCCCGGUAAACGGCGGCCGUAACUAUAACGGUCCUAAGGUAGCGAAAUUCCUUGUCGGGUAAGUUCCGACCUGCACGAAUGGCGUAAUGAUGGCCAGGCUGUCUCCACCCGAGACUCAGUGAAAUUGAACUCGCUGUGAAGAUGCAGUGUACCCGCGGCAAGACGGAAAGACCCCGUGAACCUUUACUAUAGCUUGACACUGAACAUUGAGCCUUGAUGUGUAGGAUAGGUGGGAGGCUUUGAAGCGUGGACGCCAGUCUGCGUGGAGCCAACCUUGAAAUACCACCCUUUAAUGUUUGAUGUUCUAACGUUGGCCCCUUACCGGGGUUGCGGACAGUGUCUGGUGGGUAGUUUGACUGGGGCGGUCUCCUCCCAAAGCGUAACGGAGGAGCACGAAGGUUAGCUAAUCCUGGUCGGACAUCAGGAGGUUAGUGCAAUGGCAUAAGCUAGCUUGACUGCGAGCGUGACGGCGCGAGCAGGUGCGAAAGCAGGUCAUAGUGAUCCGGUGGUUCUGAAUGGAAGGGCCAUCGCUCAACGGAUAAAAGGUACUCCGGGGAUAACAGGCUGAUACCGCCCAAGAGUUCAUAUCGACGGCGGUGUUUGGCACCUCGAUGUCGGCUCAUCACAUCCUGGGGCUGAAGUAGGUCCCAAGGGUAUGGCUGUUCGCCAUUUAAAGUGGUACGCGAGCUGGGUUUAGAACGUCGUGAGACAGUUCGGUCCCUAUCUGCCGUGGGCGCUGGAGAAUUGAGGGGGGCUGCUCCUAGUACGAGAGGACCGGAGUGGACGCAUCACUGGUGUUCGGGUUGUCAUGCCAAUGGCACUGCCCGGUAGCUAAAUGCGGAAGAGAUAAGUGCUGAAAGCAUCUAAGCACGAAACUUGCCCCGAGAUGAGUUCUCCCUGAGACUAUAAGUCUCCUGAAGGAACGUUAAAGACGAUGACGUUGAUAGGCCGGGUGUGUAAGCGCAGCGAUGCGUUGAGCUAACCGGUACUAAUGAACCGUGAGGCUUAACCUU